Molecule: ribosomal RNA, 301 nt
Filed under: uncultured bacterium
Lineage: Bacteria
Description: partial 16S ribosomal RNA
Rfam family: Bacterial small subunit ribosomal RNA
Source: RNAcentral
CAGCAGCCGCGGGAAUACGUAGGUGGCAAGCGUUGUCCGGAAUUAUUGGGCGUAAAGGGCUCGCAGGCGGUUUCUUAAGUCUGAUGUGAAAGCCCCCGGCUCAACCGGGGAGGGUCAUUGGAAACUGGGAAACUUGAGUGCAGAAGAGGAGAGUGGAAUUCCACGUGUAGCGGUGAAAUGCGUAGAGAUGUGGAGGAACACCAGUGGCGAAGGCGACUCUCUGGUCUGUAACUGACGCUGAGGAGCGAAAGCGUGGGGAGCGAAUAGGAUUAGAUACCCCAGUAGUCCCUGUCUCUUAUAA